This 314-nucleotide unclassified non-coding RNA is filed under the name plant metagenome. RNAcentral describes it as "partial contains 5.8S ribosomal RNA, internal transcribed spacer 2, and large subunit ribosomal RNA". The stretch from base 1 to 105 matches the Rfam family "5.8S ribosomal RNA", at positions 50 to 154 of the family's 154-position model. The record is from RNAcentral.
GAAAUGCGAUAAUUAAUGUGAAUUGCAGAAUUCAGUGAAUCAUCGAGUCUUUGAACGCACAUUGCGCCCCCUGGUAUUCCGGGGGGCAUGCCUGUCCGAGCGUCAUUGCUGCCCUCAAGCACGGCUUGUGUGUUGGGCUUCCGUCCCUGGCAACGGGGACGGGCCCAAAAGGCAGUGGCGGCACCAUGGCUGGUCCUCGAGCGUAUGGGGCUUUGUCACCCGCUCCCGUAGGUCCAGCUGGCAGCUAGCCUCGCAACCAAUCUUUUUAACCAGGUUGACCUCGGAUCAGGUAGGGAUACCCGCUGAACUUAAGC